This 433-nucleotide ribosomal RNA is filed under the name uncultured bacterium. RNAcentral's name for it is "bacterial SSU rRNA". It matches the Rfam family "Bacterial small subunit ribosomal RNA", at positions 30 to 509 of the family's 1533-position model. The record is from RNAcentral.
UGAACGCUGGCGGCGUGCUUAACACAUGCAAGUCGAACGAACCUUCGGGUUAGUGGCGGACGGGUGAGUAACGCGUGAGAAUCUGCCCUCAGGAGGGGGAUAACAGCUGGAAACGGCUGCUAAUACCCCAUAUGCCGCGAGGUGAAAUGAAUUUCGCCUGAGGAUGAGCUCGCGUCUGAUUAGCUAGUUGGUGUAGGUAAUGGCUCACCAAGGCAUCGAUCAGUAGCUGGUCUGAGAGGAUGAUCAGCCACACUGGGACUGAGACACGGCCCAGACUCCUACGGGAGGCAGCAGUGGGGAAUUUUCCGCAAUGGGCGAAAGCCUGACGGAGCAACGCCGCGUGAGGGAUGAAGGCCUCUGGGCUGUAAACCUCUUUUAUCAAGGAAGAAGAUCUGACGGUACUUGAUGAAUAAGCCACGGCUAAUUCCGUGCC